This 461-nucleotide ribosomal RNA is filed under the name uncultured bacterium. RNAcentral's name for it is "bacterial SSU rRNA". It matches the Rfam family "Bacterial small subunit ribosomal RNA", at positions 9 to 474 of the family's 1533-position model. The record is from RNAcentral.
GAGUUUGAUCCUGGCUCAGAAUCAACGCUGGCGGCGCGCUUAACACAUGCAAGUCGCACGAGAAAGCCGGGGCAACCUGGUAAGUAAAGUGGCGCACGGGUGAGUAACACGUGGGUAAUCUACCCUUUAGUGGGGAAUAACGCUGGGAAACCGGCGCUAAUACCGCAUAAUCCCGAGAGGGGAAAGCAGCAAUGCGCUGAAGGAGGAGCCCGCGGCCGAUUAGCUGGUUGGUAGGGUAACGGCCUACCAAGGCUGAGAUCGGUAGCCGGCCUGAGAGGGCACACGGCCGCACUGGCGCUGAAACACGGGCCAUGACUCCUACGGGGGGCAGCAGUGGGGAAUCUUGCUACAAUGGGGGAAACCCUGAUGCAGCGACGAAACGUGAGCGAUGAAGCCCUUCAGUGAGCAAAGCUCCUUCUGACGGGAACAGGAUGACGCUACGUGCAAAAUGAGCUGCGAGC